This 16-nucleotide unclassified non-coding RNA is filed under the name Pseudomonas aeruginosa UCBPP-PA14. RNAcentral describes it as "5'-R(*CP*UP*GP*CP*CP*GP*UP*AP*UP*AP*GP*GP*CP*A*DG*C)-3' from Pseudomonas aeruginosa UCBPP-PA14 (PDB 2XLJ, chain B)". The record is from RNAcentral. Lineage: Bacteria; Pseudomonadati; Pseudomonadota; Gammaproteobacteria; Pseudomonadales; Pseudomonadaceae.
CUGCCGUAUAGGCAGC